RNAcentral lists this ribosomal RNA (729 nucleotides) under uncultured eukaryote. Its description in RNAcentral is "SSU rRNA". It matches the Rfam family "Eukaryotic small subunit ribosomal RNA", at positions 670 to 1426 of the family's 1831-position model. The record is from RNAcentral.
CGGGUGCACUGAUCCGGCCGGGCCUUUCCCUCUGUGGAACCCCAUGGCCUUCACUGGCUGUGCGGGGGAAGCAGGACUUUUACUGUGAAAAAAUUAGAGUGCUCCAGGCAGGCCUAUGCUCGAAUACAUUAGCAUGGAAUAAUAGAAUAGGACGCGUGGUUCUAUUUUGUUGGUUUCUAGGACCGCCGUAAUGAUUAAUAGGGACAGUCGGGGGCAUCAGUAUUCAAUUGUCAGAGGUGAAAUUCUUGGAUCUAUUGAAGACUAACUACUGCGAAAGCAUUUGCCAAGGAUGUUUUCAUUGAUAAGGAACGAAAGUUAGGGGAUCGAAGACGAUCAGAUACCGUCGUAGUCUUAACUAUAAACUAUGCCGACUAGGGAUCGGACGAUGUUAUUUCUUGACGCGUUCGGCACCUUUCGAGAAAUCAAAGUGCUUGGGCUCCAGGGGGAGUAUGGUCGCAAGGCUGAAACUUAAAGAAAUUGACGGAAGGGCACCACCAGGGGUGGAACCUGCGGCUUAAUUUGACUCAACACGGGGAAACUCACCAGGUCCAGACACAGUGAGGAUUGACAGAUUGAGAGCUCUUUCUUGAUUCUGUGGGUGGUGGUGCAUGGCCGUUCUUAGUUGGUGGAGUGAUUUGUCUGCUUAAUUGCGAUAACGAACGAGACCUUAACCUGCUAAAUAGCCCGUACUGCUCUGGCAGUUCGCCGGCUUCUUAGAGGGACUAUCGG